CACACUUUGUUAUUUCAAAAGGUUUACAGACUUAUUUUGUGUGACCUUUCCAGCACUUACUGAAUACACUUCUCGACAAUUUGCAACAGAUGCGAAACAACUGGUCACAACUUAACCAUCUGCUAUUCUUAUUCUCGCCUGUGAAUUUAUCUUAAUUGCAUUCUGUACGAAAUAAGUGCUACAUUAUCGUCAGCAAACGCAGCCGGAGUUAAUUCCCGGCGGUUUUGAGUGGAUAAUCCGGAAUUAAAUGUAAACAGAGGUUUAGAUGAAGGCCAUUUAGCGGGAACUUUAACUUCAAGUGGGGUUGUCUAGGGGAGAGCUUUCUUCUGAUUACAGCCAGACUUCUUAGUCAAUAGCGGUAAUGACGCUCGCAAUAGCGUAAUAACAACAUUUCCCUGGCAAAUGGAAUGUUCCUGAGUCAUGAGAAUCAAAAUGAUGAUGCAGCAAAAGUCAAACUUGCCAAGGAUUUCAAAACUGGUGGUGAUAAUGGCCGGACAGACGGCUUACAACUAAUCCAGUGGUUCUUGGUUGCUACAUAGAUCUAACAAUACUUAAUGCUGAAUUGGAUUUAAUGCGUCAGCAAAGUCAAGGAGUCGAAGGAAAUUGGACAGUACCUCCCGUCCCUCGGACAUUUAUUUUCUUCAAGCAAAGUAAUUAUUUUUUUUUCCCAAUCCACACCCCCCCCCCUGUAUCCGCCCCUGAUGUUAUCCCUUUGUUGUAUACGCCUCCUUCAAGUAAGGUUGCACGUGACAAUCCGUGUGUAGUAGCCCGCGAUGCUGUAAGGGUUUAAAAUAAAAUUUAAAAACACACAA
Nematostella vectensis (starlet sea anemone) is the source of this 812-nucleotide long non-coding RNA. RefSeq lists it as uncharacterized. The transcript is spliced from 2 exons. The record is from RefSeq and is a predicted model, not a curated record. NCBI's taxonomy places the organism in Eukaryota, Metazoa, Cnidaria, Anthozoa, Actiniaria, Edwardsiidae.